GAUGAACGCUGGCGGCGUGCCUAAUACAUGCAAGUCGAGCGAACAGACGAGGAGCUUGCUCCUCUGACGUUAGCGGCGGACGGGUGAGUAACACGUGGAUAACCUACCUAUAAGACUGGGAUAACUUCGGGACACCGGAGCUAAUACCGGAUAAUAUAUUGAACCGCAUGGUUCAAUAGUGAAAGACGGUUUUGCUGUCCCUUAUAGAUGGAUCCGCGCCGCAUUAGCUAGUUGGUAAGGUAACGGCUUACCAAGGCAACGAUGCGUAGCCGACCUGAGAGGGUGAUCGGCCAAACGGGAACUGAGACACGGUCAAGACUCCUACGGGAGGAAGCAGUAGGGAAUCUUCCGCAAUGGGCGAAAGCAUGACGGAGCAACGCCGCGUGAGUGAUGAAGGUCUUCGGAUCGUAAAACUCGGUUAUUAGGGAAGAAAAAAUGUGUAAGUAACUAUGCACGUAUUGACGGUACCUAAUCAGAAAGCAACGGCUAACUACGUG
Molecule: ribosomal RNA, 497 nt
Filed under: uncultured bacterium
Lineage: Bacteria
Description: partial 16S ribosomal RNA
Rfam family: Bacterial small subunit ribosomal RNA
Source: RNAcentral